CUGAAUCAGUGUGUGUGUUAGUGGAAGCGUCUGGAAAGGCGCGCGAUACAGGGUGACAGCCCCGUACACAAAAAUGCACAUACUGUGAGCUCGAUGAGUAGGGCGGGACACGUGGUAUCCUGUCUGAAUAUGGGGGGACCAUCCUCCAAGGCUAAAUACUCCUGACUGACCGAUAGUGAACCAGUACCGUGAGGGAAAGGCGAAAAGAACCCCGGCGAGGGGAGUGAAAAAGAACCUGAAACCGUGUACGUACAAGCAGUGGGAGCCUCUUUUAUGGGGUGACUGCGUACCUUUUGUAUAAUGGGUCAGCGACUUAUAUUCUGUAGCAAGGUUAACCGAAUAGGGGAGCCGAAGGGAAACCGAGUCUUAACCGGGCGUUAAGUUGCAGGGUAUAGACCCGAAACCCGGUGAUCUAGCCAUGGGCAGGUUGAAGGUUGGGUAACACUAACUGGAGGACCGAACCGACUAAUGUUGAAAAAUUAGCGGAUGACUUGUGGCUGGGGGUGAAAGGCCAAUCAAACCGGGAGAUAGCUGGUUCUCCCCGAAAGCUAUUUAGGUAGCGCCUCGUGAAUUCAUCUCCGGGGGUAGAGCACUGUUUCGGCAAGGGGGUCAUCCCGACUUACCAACCCGAUGCAAACUGCGAAUACCGGAGAAUGUUAUCACGGGAGACACACGGCGGGUGCUAACGUCCGUCGUGAAGAGGGAAACAACCCAGACCGCCAGCUAAGGUCCCAAAGUCAUGGUUAAGUGGGAAACGAUGUGGGAAGGCCCAGACAGCCAGGAUGUUGGCUUAGAAGCAGCCAUCAUUUAAAGAAAGCGUAAUAGCUCACUGGUCGAGUCGGCCUGCGCGGAAGAUGUAACGGGGCUAAACCAUGCACCGAAGCUGCGGCAGCGACACUGUGUGUUGUUGGGUAGGGGAGCGUUCUGUAAGCCUGUGAAGGUGUGCUGUGAGGCAUGCUGGAGGUAUCAGAAGUGCGAAUGCUGACAUAAGUAACGAUAAAGCGGGUGAAAAGCCCGCUCGCCGGAAGACCAAGGGUUCCUGUCCAACGUUAAUCGGGGCAGGGUGAGUCGACCCCUAAGGCGAGGCCGAAAGGCGUAGUCGAUGGGAAACAGGUUAAUAUUCCUGUACUUGGUGUUACUGCGAAGGGGGGACGGAGAAGGCUAUGUUGGCCGGGCGACGGUUGUCCCGGUUUAAGCGUGUAGGCUGGUUUUCCAGGCAAAUCCGGAAAAUCAAGGCUGAGGCGUGAUGACGAGGCACUACGGUGCUGAAGCAACAAAUGCCCUGCUUCCAGGAAAAGCCUCUAAGCAUCAGGUAACAUCAAAUCGUACCCCAAACCGACACAGGUGGUCAGGUAGAGAAUACCAAGGCGCUUGAGAGAACUCGGGUGAAGGAACUAGGCAAAAUGGUGCCGUAACUUCGGGAGAAGGCACGCUGAUAUGUAGGUGAAGUCCCUCGCGGAUGGAGCUGAAAUCAGUCGAAGAUACCAGCUGGCUGCAACUGUUUAUUAAAAACACAGCACUGUGCAAACACGAAAGUGGACGUAUACGGUGUGACGCCUGCCCGGUGCCGGAAGGUUAAUUGAUGGGGUCAGCGCAAGCGAAGCUCUUGAUCGAAGCCCCGGUAAACGGCGGCCGUAACUAUAACGGUCCUAAGGUAGCGAAAUUCCUUGUCGGGUAAGUUCCGACCUGCACGAAUGGCGUAAUGAUGGCCAGGCUGUCUCCACCCGAGACUCAGUGAAAUUGAACUCGCUGUGAAGAUGCAGUGUACCCGCGGCAAGACGGAAAGACCCCGUGAACCUUUACUAUAGCUUGACACUGAACAUUGAGCCUUGAUGUGUAGGAUAGGUGGGAGGCUUUGAAGUGUGGACGCCAGUCUGCAUGGAGCCGACCUUGAAAUACCACCCUUUAAUGUUUGAUGUUCUAACGUGGACCCGUGAUCCGGGUUGCGGACAGUGUCUGGUGGGUAGUUUGACUGGGGCGGUCUCCUCCUAAAGAGUAACGGAGGAGCACGAAGGUUGGCUAAUCCUGGUCGGACAUCAGGAGGUUAGUGCAAUGGCAUAAGCCAGCUUGACUGCGAGCGUGACGGCGCGAGCAGGUGCGAAAGCAGGUCAUAGUGAUCCGGUGGUUCUGAAUGGAAGGGCCAUCGCUCAACGGAUAAAAGGUACUCCGGGGAUAACAGGCUGAUACCGCCCAAGAGUUCAUAUCGACGGCGGUGUUUGGCACCUCGAUGUCGGCUCAUCACAUCCUGGGGCUGAAGUAGGUCCCAAGGGUAUGGCUGUUCGCCAUUUAAAGUGGUACGCGAGCUGGGUUUAGAACGUCGUGAGACAGUUCGGUCCCUAUCUGCCGUGGGCGCUGGAGAACUGAGGGGGGCUGCUCCUAGUACGAGAGGACCGGAGUGGACGCAUCACUGGUGUUCGGGUUGUCAUGCCAAUGGCACUGCCCGGUAGCUAAAUGCGGAAGAGAUAAGUGCUGAAAGCAUCUAAGCACGAAACUUGCCCCGAGAUGAGUUCUCCCUGACCCUUUAAGGGUCCUGAAGGAACGUUGAAGACGACGACGUUGAUAGGCCGGGUGUGUAAGCGCAGCGAUGCGUUGAGCUAACCGGUACUAAUGAACCGUGAGGCUUAACCUUACAACGCCGAAGGUGUUU
This 2647-nucleotide ribosomal RNA is filed under the name Escherichia coli. Its description in RNAcentral is "partial 23S ribosomal RNA". It matches the Rfam family "Bacterial large subunit ribosomal RNA", at positions 312 to 2925 of the family's 2925-position model. The record is from RNAcentral. Lineage: Bacteria; Pseudomonadati; Pseudomonadota; Gammaproteobacteria; Enterobacterales; Enterobacteriaceae.